AUAACCCCGGGAAACUGGGGAUAAUACCCCAUAGUCUAUGGAAGCUGGAAUGCUCCAUAGUCGAAAGAUUUAUCGCCUUAGGAUGGGUCUGCGGCCGAUUAGGUAGUUGUUGGGGUAACGGCCCAACAAGCCUUUGAUCGGUACGGGUUGUGGGAGCAAGAGCCCGGAGAUGGAUUCUGAGACACGAAUCCAGGCCCUACGGGGCGCAGCAGGCGCGAAAACUUUACAAUGCGGGAAACCGUGAUAAGGGAACUCCGAGUGCCCGUAAACGCGGGCUGUCCAUCUGCUUAAAAAACAGGUGAAGAAAGGGCCGGGCAAGACCGGUGCCAGCCGCCGCGGUAAUACCGGCGGCUCGAGUGGUGGCCACUAUUACUGGGCUUAAAGCGUCCGUAGCUUGGUUGUUAAGUCUCUUGGGAAAUCUGUCGGCUUAACCGACAGGCGUUUAAGGGAUACUGGCAACCUAGGGACCGGGAGAGGUGAGAGGUACUUCAGGGGUAGGAGUGAAAUCCUGUAAUCCUUGGGGGACCACCUGUGGCGUAGGCGUCUCACCAGAACGGCUCCGACAGUGAGGGACGAAAGCUGGGGGAGCAAACCGGAUUAGAUACCCGGGUAGUCCCAGCCGUAAACGAUGCGCGUUAGGUGUAUCGGUGACCACGAGUCACCGAGGUGCCGAAGGGAAACCGUGAAACGUGCCGCCUGGGAAGUACGGUCGCAAGGCUGAAACUUAA
RNAcentral lists this ribosomal RNA (728 nucleotides) under uncultured archaeon. RNAcentral describes it as "bacterial SSU rRNA". It matches the Rfam family "Archaeal small subunit ribosomal RNA", at positions 126 to 859 of the family's 1478-position model. The record is from RNAcentral.